AUUUCAGUAGUUUAGCGGUAUCACGCAACCCUCCCACGGUUGCGACCUGGGUUCGACUCCCUACUGGCACA
Schistosoma rodhaini is the source of this 71-nucleotide non-coding RNA. The record is from Rfam. NCBI's taxonomy places the organism in Eukaryota, Metazoa, Platyhelminthes, Trematoda, Strigeidida, Schistosomatidae.